This 498-nucleotide ribosomal RNA is filed under the name uncultured bacterium. Its description in RNAcentral is "partial 16S ribosomal RNA". It matches the Rfam family "Bacterial small subunit ribosomal RNA", at positions 29 to 523 of the family's 1533-position model. The record is from RNAcentral.
AGUGAACGCUGGCGGCAGGCCCAACACAUGCAAGUCUAGCGGCAGCGCGGGGCAACCUGGCGGCGAGCGGCGGACGGGUGAGGAAUACGUCGGAAUCUGCCUUUUUGUGGGGGAUAACGUAGGGAAACUUACGCUAAUACCGCAUACGACCUACGGGUGAAAGUGGGGGACCGGAAGGCCUCACGCAGAAAGAUGAGCAGACGUCCGAUUAGCUAGGUGGUGAGGUAAUGGCUCACCAAGGCGACGAUCGGUAGCUGGUCUGAGAGGAUGAUCAGCCACACUGGGACUGAGACACGGCCCAGACUCCUACGGGAGGCAGCAUUGGUGAAUAUUAUGCACUGGGCGCAAGCCUGAUCCUGCCAUGCCGCGUGUGUGAAGAAGGCCUUCGAGUUGUAAAGCACUUUUGUCCGGAAAGAAAUCCUGAAGAUUAAUACUCAUUGGGGAUGACGGUACCGGAAGAAUAAGCACCGGCUAACUUCGUGCCAGCCGCCGCAGUAA